GGUUGACUUGACACAAAUCUAAUACAUGAAGUAAAAAGGACCGGAGGACUAUUAUAAUAAGUUUUAUAUGACUGGUCAAUCAGUAUCUAGUUCAAUCCUUAUUGUGCCAGCGGAAUAAAUAAGGAUCCAACGGCGGCCCUUCAUUCUUGUACCUCCAGCUUUCUUCCUCCAACCAUUUCUCUCCCCAUGAAAUCCACUUACCCAAUAUGAAAAUUCAGUAAACUUAACCCAAUAUGGAAAUUCAGUCAACGUGCAUAUAGCUGCCGUGUGGAUUGGCGAGUACUAGGCGCCGGCGCACCGGCCCAAUAGUUUGGCCGGUCGCGCGACAACCCUCGGAUUCGAGCGCUACGAACAGUCUGAUCUCAUCCCCUUCCUUCUCUCAUACACACCAAAGGGAUCUCACACACCAAAUCCCCCUGCGAGCGCUGCAGCCGGAGCAUCGCCCCCGAGCUAGCCGGAUCCCUCGCACGGUUGUAACAGAGAGCGCCACCGACCCAGCUUGACGGGUCCCCCCCCCGCGCGUCGCUGCCCCUCCCAACCAUCUCCCUCGUUCGCAACUCCGUCAUGGUCGGAUACCCGCCAAGCUUGGCCAUGGCUGACACGGAGCCUCCGUUGGCAGCGGUUGAAGCUCCCCGCCCCGCGGUUGUAGCAUCUGGUGCGCCACCCCCACCCCCUCCAUCCUCGCCGUCGAGCUCGUCGCAGGGUGCAUGCUGCAGGCACCGCCGUCGUCUUCUUCCCUGGGUAACCCAAUUCCACAUGUCGCCGUUGUAGCAAAACAGCCCGGCGUUUGUAGCUUUUCAGAAUCCCCGAUGUAGCAAAAAAAAAUGAGCGACACCACUUCGCCCUGUACCACUCCAUUGAUGUAGCAAAACAAAUCGCAGGUUCCAGCUUCUAUAGAUGCUGAUCCCAGCUGCUCUCAACUGUCGCGACAAAUACUGUGGUUGGUUCCAGCAAAAAUAUGGAUCCAGCAAAAAAUCAGAAGGGGGUGGUAGCAAAAAUCAGAAGGGGGUGGUAACAAAUAUUUGAGUGGUUCCAGCAAAAAAAAAUGGAUCGAAGCAAAAUAACAAAAAUGGAUCGAAGCAAAAUAAAAUCAAAGACGGGAUGGUAGCAACAGCGAAGACGGCUGUAGCAAAAAUUUGUAGUUGUUCCAGCAAAAAUUUCAAGGGCGUGGUGCAAAAAUCAGAAGGACAGUGGUAGCAAAAACAAGAGAUAGUGGUAGCAAAAAUUUAGACUGAUUCCAGCAAAAAAGCAGCCUAAUUACGGAUCAUAGCAAAAAAGUUUUUGAUUCCAGCAAAACAACAAACUAGUUGUAGCCAAAAUUGUGGCAGAUUGCAGAUCCCGUCGAGGCAGGUUCCAGCAUCUCGUCCGCUUGUAGCAUGUAGGCGCUGUUCCAGGUAGGUGGGGGGUGUCGCUCGUCGGAGCAGUGCGGACGUGGUUUGGAGUGGCUGCUUGCCGGAGCAGCGUGGGGCAGGUGAAGGGCGUACGUUCGCCGGAGUAGCGCGGGGGCAGGUGGAGGGCGGCCCUCGCCGGAGCAGCGUUGGCCGUGUUUGAUUAGGGGAAAAGGAGAUGCUUGUGUGCG
RNAcentral lists this ribosomal RNA (1579 nucleotides) under Triticum aestivum (bread wheat). RNAcentral describes it as "partial small subunit ribosomal RNA". Lineage: Eukaryota; Viridiplantae; Streptophyta; Magnoliopsida; Poales; Poaceae. The record is from RNAcentral.